UCGAGAAUAUUCGACAAUGGGCGAAAGCCUGAUCGAGCGACGCCGCGUGCGGGAAGAAGUGCUUCGGCAUGUAAACCGCUUUUGUCAGGGAAAAAUUUUGAUUGUACCUGAAGAAUAAGGGGUUGCUAACUCUGUGCCAGCAGCAGCGGUAAUACAGAGACCCCGAGCGUUAUCCGGAAUAACUGGGCGUAAAGCGCGAGUAUCCGGUUGUGUUAGUCUGAUGUUAAAUCCCGAGGCUUAACUUCGGGACCGCAUUAGAAACGGCACGACUAGAGUGGGUAAGAGGCAAGCGGAACGUGCAGUGUAGGGGUGAAAUCCAUUGAUAUUGCACGGAACACCAAAAGCGAAAGCAGCUUGCUAGUGCUCAACUGACGGUCAAUCGCGAAAGCGUGGGGAUCAA
Molecule: ribosomal RNA, 400 nt
Filed under: uncultured bacterium
Lineage: Bacteria
Description: bacterial SSU rRNA
Rfam family: Bacterial small subunit ribosomal RNA
Source: RNAcentral